AUUGAACGCUGGCGGCCGGCCUAACACAUGCAAGUCGAACGAGCGGCGGACGGGUGAGUAAUGUCUGGGAAACGGCCUGAUGGAGGGGGAUAACCACUGGAAACGGUAGCUAAUACCGCAUACCAUCAGAUGUGCCCAGAUGGGUUUAGAUAGUUGGUGGGGUAACGGCUCACCAGGGCGACGAUCACUAGCGGGUCUGAGAGGAUGACCAGCCACACUGUAACUGAGAUACGGUCCAGACUCCUAUGGGAGGCAUGAGUGGGGAAUGGUUGUCAAUGGGCUCAAGCCUGAUGCAGCCAUGCCGCGUGUAUGAAGAAGGCCUUCGGGUUGUAAAGUACUUUCAGCGGGGAGGCGUUACCCGCAGAAGAAGCACCGGCUAACUCCGUGCCAGCAGCCGCGGUAAUAC
RNAcentral lists this ribosomal RNA (406 nucleotides) under uncultured bacterium. Its description in RNAcentral is "partial 16S ribosomal RNA". It matches the Rfam family "Bacterial small subunit ribosomal RNA", at positions 30 to 526 of the family's 1533-position model. The record is from RNAcentral.